RNAcentral lists this ribosomal RNA (331 nucleotides) under uncultured bacterium. RNAcentral's name for it is "bacterial SSU rRNA". It matches the Rfam family "Bacterial small subunit ribosomal RNA", at positions 568 to 898 of the family's 1533-position model. The record is from RNAcentral.
UGCGUUAGGUGGUUAGGUAAGACCUGUGGGAAACGGACCUGGGCUUAACCCAGGAAGGUCGCAGGUGACUGCCUGGCUAGAGGGCGGGAGAGGAGCGCGGAAUUCCCGGUGUAGCGGUGAAAUGCGUAGAGAUCGGGAGGAAGGCCGGUGGCGAAGGCGGCGCUCUGGAACGUUCCUGACACUGAGGCACGAAAGCGUGGGGAGCAAACAGGAUUAGAUACCCUGGUAGUCCACGCCCUAAACGAUGGGUACUAAGUGUCGGCGGGUUACCGCCGGUGCCGCACCUAACGGAGUAAGUACCCCGCCUGGGGAGUACGGCCGCAAGGUUGAA